UACCCAUACCACCUGCAUGGAGCUCCUUCCUGUUAGCUUUCUUACCUGUGUCCUCUAGCACCUCCCUGAGACCCCGAGCACAAUCGGGGUCAAGCUCCACAUUCUGUCUAAGGUUCCAUGACCUGCCCCACCCCUCCUUCUGUGGGGAGAUGUCAACAGUCCAAGGGCCCCACUGUGAUACUCUUACGAAGGGUGGCAGCUGCUCAGAGGAAUAGGCAUCCCACGGACCCUCCUCACCAGCACUCGGCUUCCGGCACUGCGCUAUUCUCUGGAAAGAUAACUACCCAUAGUCCUCUGGUGCGUCCUGAACACUCAGUUGGAGGAAGAUUCUGCCUGAGGAGGCAGUGCGAAGAGCCUGGGGUCUGAUGCCCCAGUGGGCGCGCCACGAAGCUUCACCCCAUCACAAGCUCAGAACAUCUUGAGCAAGUUGCCUCAGUUUCCCAUCUGGAGGGUCAGCAGCCUGAAGCUUAAGUCGCAAUGACCGUCAGCCAGUGAAGGUUUGCCAGGAGCCUCCUGACUGCUUCCCACACGGGCUUGAAAUGGAUGCUAAGGACGACAGACACCAUGCUCAGCCCCAAAUGGGACAUCUGCAUCACCCAGGAGUCACUGAACAAGAGAAGGAAAAUGGGGCCAAUACUUGCACCCAAGGAGACAGCGCCAGACUUGGAGUAUUUGCAGGCCUGCAGCUCACUGUGUGGCCCAGGCUGGCCUCAGACUCCUGCCUCUGUCUUCCCAGUGCUGAAAUUACAGGCAUAAGUUGACACAUCUGGAAAGGACGAUUUUUUUUAAAGUCCUGCUCUCCUCUGGCUAUUGUCUUGGACUGUGAGGACUGGGCACUGCAGAGGCCUCACAUGGCUCUGGGCUAUUUGAUCGCUGUGUGAAUUACCUCAUGAGACCAUCACAGCAGCCCUGGAUGGGUGCUCCAUCUUUCCUUCAGUAGAAGGAGGCGGCGCCCAGUGGGUAAGUGACAGACCCAAGGUCACUCAGCCAAGUAGUGAAGCAGGAACGGACCUCGGCACCCACGACUCUACUGGGCCCCGCAGCCCUGUGUGCUCCCUCCCGCAGCAGGCCUCAGCUCCCUCCACUGUGGUAACCCAAGUGCUGCCAAACAUGGCUUCCUCUCACCAUCUGGGCUACCGUCUCUCUGUUCUCUGCCCGUUUUACAGAUGAGAGGCCCAAGCGUCGAGGAACUCAGGCCAAUCCCCAGUGUAGAAAGCUGCACAGUCACGUUCAAAUGCCACUCCACCUGACUGGGAACCUGUUUCCUUCCCACCAUACCUGUCAAACAAGUGGACUCACUCGGAGCUCCAGUGCUGAGAGCAGGUGGGGCCCCCUCAAGGGAGCUUCUGCUGGCUCUGGCCACAGCCCACUGGAUGGACAGAUGGGUGAAUGGGCAGACAGAUGGACAUACGGACGGACAGAGGCCAGCUGCUUCACUCUGCUCUAAUCACCAGGCCCCUCGGCGGACUCGGUAAAUGCCCCGCUGCUGCUGAGCCGAAGGCUUUCAGGGCCUGCCUGUCACCGUGUUUUACAGCCCUCUUGUUGAAGAGCGGAAUCUGUAUUGAUUUCAGAACAACUCAAGCUGUAAAUUACUGGCCGCGAUCGGCUUGGUAACCCUGAGAUGAGAAUCUAUUGACUGGACCGGGGGCUUAAAUCUAAUUAUCGUCCCAGGAAAACCAUUGGCAGAGCUGCUCAAUGCCUGUGCGGAAGAGAACAGUUAAACAGCCCAGGGCUACGUGGGGGGUGGGGGUGGGGCAGAGAUCUAGAACGAUCCGGGGUCUCUGCGGAGCCUAAGAAACUGCCUUGGCCACCAAUCGAUUGACCUUGAGUCACUUCUGUAAUUACCAACGGCGAUGUUACUACGAUAGCGUGGUGCCCCAUGGCUCUGGGGCCUGGGCACCUCAUGCAGCCUGUUGUUCAGCUUCCUCAAACCAGUUUCUUCAUCUCUACAUAGAGGGAGCCUUGGUGCAUUUCUACCUGUACCUCAGGAAGGAGAGAAAACCGCCAGCCAUGGGAGCGGCUUCGCCCAAGGGCACACAGCUACCUCGGAAUGCAGACCUUAAACCGGUCCCUCACUGCUGGGUGGCUCAAUGGUUAGGGGUGCCUGCCUGCGUGCGGUUACCGGCACCCUGUGCGGUGGCUCACAGUCACCUGGACGUGAGGCGGCGUGCUGGCCUUGACAAGAACGUCAUCCAUGGGCUUCUAUAUCUGAACGCUGGGUAGCUCAGACUGGAGCUGUUUGAAAGGGUUAGAAGGGUUCGGGGGUGUUGCUGGUUGGAGGGAGUCUGUCACUGGGGUUAGGCUUUGAGGUUUUGAAGGGUGAAUGCCAAUCACAGGGUGUCUCUCUCUGACUACAGGUCAGGACGUAGCUCCCAGCCACUGCUCCGUUGCACCAUGGGCCCUGACAUGAUAGUAGCAGACUAAGCGUCCGAAACUGUAACACACACAUGUACACA
Molecule: small RNA, 2456 nt
Filed under: Rattus norvegicus (Norway rat)
Lineage: Eukaryota; Metazoa; Chordata; Mammalia; Rodentia; Muridae
Description: uncharacterized LOC102551333
Source: RNAcentral